Rattus norvegicus (Norway rat) is the source of this 749-nucleotide non-coding RNA. Lineage: Eukaryota; Metazoa; Chordata; Mammalia; Rodentia; Muridae. The record is from RefSeq and is a predicted model, not a curated record.
AUUGCAGAAGGAUCCUGGUGUCCGCGCGUCAUUCUUGCCGGCGAGACGUUAGGCGCGCGACAUCUGACAAGCCUGAGAGCUGCAGAAGAGAGAACAUAACAAUCAUAUGGGAACCAGGCCAUGUCAGUGACAGAGUUUGCUGAGGUGAGAAAGCUGAAAACAGCACCACCCUACUGAAGUUCCACAACAAAUCAUAUUUGGUAAUUCAGUGGCACAUCACAGGAGGAUUUCCCUACAACCAGGAGAGAAAAAAUUUAAAACACAAUAGAAAGAGCACUGCUGUGCUACUUUGGGAUGAAAACAAACAACAUAGCUGUGGUCAGAUGGGAAGCUUAGCAUGCUACCAUUGAUGGUGUCUGGGGAAAGAAGGUAGCAUUGCAUGGUGGCAGAAGGAUGUCUCUGUAAGGCUCCAUCCUGAGUCUCAGUGAUCCUCUCAUGGAAGAUGGAAAGAUCAGGCUACAUGCAGCACCCCAACAUUUCAGAAGCGACUGCUCCUUGUGGAUAUUAAAAAUACAUGAAGUAUGUAGCCUGUAACCCUCUCACCCUGUGAACUUGCUGGCGGCAUUUCCUCGGUGGAGAUCCAGGGCUGUAACAGAAGAGAGCAUUGGUAGACAUGCAUCCGUCUUUCCCUCUCUCCUCUUCACCAUGGAUGGAACUGGUUCCUUCACUUUUUUGCCUUUAGUUUUUUUUCUAUAAUAAAUGAUAACCUUAAUCAUGAGUUGAAAUAAACCCACCCUGCAGCAAAAUAA